RNAcentral lists this ribosomal RNA (527 nucleotides) under uncultured bacterium. RNAcentral's name for it is "bacterial SSU rRNA". It matches the Rfam family "Bacterial small subunit ribosomal RNA", at positions 776 to 1304 of the family's 1533-position model. The record is from RNAcentral.
GAAUAGAUACCCUGGUAGUCCAUGCCGUAAACGUUGGGAACUAGGUGUGGGUCUCAUUCCACGAGAUCCGUGCCGCAGCUAACGCAUUAAGUUCCCCGCCUGGGGAGUACGGCCGCAAGGCUGAAACUCAAAGGAAUUGACGGGGGCCCGCACAAGCGGCGGAGCAUGCGGAUUAAUUCGAUGCAACGCGAAGAACCUUACCAAGGCUUGACAUACACCGGAAUCACUCAGAGAUGGGUGCGUCUUCGGACUGGUGUACAGGUGGUGCAUGGUUGUCGUCAGCUCGUGUCGUGAGAUGUUGGGUUAAGUUCCGCAACGAGCGCAACCCUCGUUCUAUGUUGCCAGCACGUGAUGGUGGGGAUUCAUAGGAGACUGCCGGGGUCAACUCGGAGGAAGUGGGGAUGACGUCAAAUCAUCAUGCCCCUUAUGUCUUGGGCUUCACGCAUGCUACAAUGGCCGGUACAAAGGGCUGCGAAACCGNGACGGUGGAGCGAAUCCCAAAAACCGGGUCUCAGUUCGAUUGGGGU